AAAGGUCACGGAUAUAUUAACUGAACUAAAAUGAUCUUAUUAGAUAAUUGGAUCACAAACACCAGUUCUCCGUACACGGUGUCAUUAUCACAGACACAUAUUGUGGCAAAGUUUACUUAUUUCUUAGAGCAAAUGCUUGCUUCUUAAGCUUUCUCUAGAGCAUUGUUGCCCAUGCAAUAGUUCUGACUGCAGUUUGAAAUGCA
This 203-nucleotide long non-coding RNA is filed under the name Nicotiana benthamiana. RNAcentral describes it as "long non-coding RNA (NBEN_LNC012435)". The record is from RNAcentral. Lineage: Eukaryota; Viridiplantae; Streptophyta; Magnoliopsida; Solanales; Solanaceae.